RNAcentral lists this ribosomal RNA (1370 nucleotides) under uncultured bacterium. RNAcentral describes it as "bacterial SSU rRNA". It matches the Rfam family "Bacterial small subunit ribosomal RNA", at positions 28 to 1381 of the family's 1533-position model. The record is from RNAcentral.
GAUGAACGCUGGCGGCGUGCCUAAUACAUGCAAGUCGAGCGAACGGACGAGAAGCUUGCUUCUCUGAUGUUAGCGGCGGACGGGUGAGUAACACGUGGAUAACCUACCUAUAAGACUGGGAUAACUUCGGGAAACCGGAGCUAAUACCGGAUAAUACUUUGAACCGCAUGGUUCAAAAGUGAAAGACGGUCUUGCUGUCACUUAUAGAUGGAUCCGCGCUGCAUUAGCUAGUUGGUAAGGUAACGGCUUACCAAGGCAACGAUGCAUAGCCGACCUGAGAGGGUGAUCGGCCACACUGGAACUGAGACACGGUCCAGACUCCUACGGGAGGCAGCAGUAGGGAAUCUUCCGCAAUGGGCGAAAGCCUGACGGAGCAACGCCGCGUGAGUGAUGAAGGUCUUCGGAUCGUAAAACUCUGUUAUUAGGGAAGAACAUAUGUGUAAGUAACUGUGCACAUCUUGACGGUACCUAAUCAGAAAGCCACGGCUAACUACGUGCCAGCAGCCGCGGUAAUACGUAGGUGGCAAGCGUUAUCCGGAAUUAUUGGGCGUAAAGCGCGCGUAGCGGUUUUUUAAGUCUGAUGUGAAAGCCCACGGCUCACCGUGGAGGGUCAUUGGAAACUGGAAAACUUGAGUGCAGAAGAGGAAAGUGGAAUUCCAUGUGUAGCGGUGAAAUGCGCAGAGAUAUGGAGGGACACCAGUGGCGAAGGCGACUUUCUGGUCUGUAACUGACGCUGAUGUGCGAAAGCGUGGGGAUCAAACAGGAUUAGAUACCCUGGUAGUCCACGCCGUAAACGAUGAGUGCUAAGUGUUAGGGGGUUUCCGCCCCUUAGUGCUGCAGCUAACGCACUAAGCACUCCGCCUGGGGAGUACGACCGCAAGGUUGAAACUCAAAGGAAUUGACGGGGACCCGCACAAGCGGUGGAGCAUGUGGUUUAAUUCGAAGCAACGCGAAGAACCUUACCAAAUCUUGACAUCCUUUGACAACUCUAGAGAUAGAGCCUUCCCCUUCGGGGGACAAAGUGACAGGUGGUGCAUGGUUGUCGUCAGCUCGUGUCGUGAGAUGUUGGGUUAAGUCCCGCAACGAGCGCAACCCUUAAGCUUAGUUGCCAUCAUUAAGUUGGGCACUCUAAGUUGACUGCCGGUGACAAACCGGAGGAAGGUGGGGAUGACGUCAAAUCAUCAUGCCCCUUAUGAUUUGGGCUACACACGUGCUACAAUGGACAAUACAAAGGGCAGCGAAACCGCGAGGUCAAGCAAAUCCCAUAAAGUUGUUCUCAGUUCGGAUUGUAGUCUGCAACUCGACUACAUGAAGCUGGAAUCGCUAGUAAUCGUAGAUCAGCAUGCUACGGUGAAUACGUUCCCGGGUCU